GGAGCUGCGCCGGACCCGGGGGGAACAGCCAAGGGCAGCGCGGGGCAUACGGCGGGACACAGAGAGGCCCACACACGGAUGCACACAGCAAGACACACGUGCAGGCGCACACAGCAGAGCACACCGCACAGAUAUACACACACAGCUAAACACAGUAGGACACACACACAGCGCAGCAGGGUAGACAGCACACAGAUGCACACACAUACAUAUACAUGCACACAUGCACACAGCAGGACAUUGCCCAGGCACACACACAGCACACACACAAAGCACAGGGCUGUGUCAAAGGCAGCCUUCCUCCCCACCCCUUUGCUGGCCAGCAAGAGCCUGUCAGUCACAGCUCUGUGUUUGCCAGGGCUGAUCCCAAAAGGCGGUUGCAGAUGGCAGCUUGCAGCCGCAGCAGCUGCUUUGAAGUCACGGCAAAGACAGCGUUAAAAACAAAAAGGAAUAGGGUGGGCUGGGGGCAGAACUGGAGCAGGGAUGGGUCUGGUGGAGCCCACCCUGCAAUCACCUGGAAAGGCAGAUAUUGAAGGGGGAGCGGGGCAAGGGAGAGGAUGGUUCUUGUCUUUGCUUUUCUUUUUUUUCUGUUUAUAAAGUGGAUGGCUGGCAUGGGGUUUGCACCCUCUGCGUCUGUGCAUGGUGGAGAGAGCUGUUUACUGCUUGUUUAUUAUCCUGACUUUCCCUCACUGCCCCUCUGCUUUCCACCAUGAAUACGAAGACCUGAUCUGGUUAGAAGCCUAGGGAAGGACACACAGCUUUUCAGUGCACUGGGGGAAUUAUAUAAUUUGGGAUGACAGAAAGCAUUUAGCUAGAUUGUUUCAUUAAAAAGGACACUGCUGGAAAGCCCUUGGUGCAUGGUUUUUGCCCACUGCAGAGGUGAAAGGGGAAAAAAAAAUAAAAUUGCAGAGCAAAGCUGGGUUAAGCAGAUUGUCUGAGUCUUUUAAAUAGAUGCUGGUUCUAGUGUUGGACAGGUACUACUGCUAGCUGCUGCUUGUCUUGCCCUUGUGGGGAGGCCUCAGUGACUAGUAGUUUUCUAAGGCGUAUUUCUUCUCUCUCUCAUGCAAUCUACCUCUCCUCUUCUGCACCCAUUUACGUCUCUCCAUGUGGCAUCAUUGAAAAGCCUGGGCUGCUGCAACCUCUCCAGGAGCUAGUGAACUACUUGGUAGGCAGCAGCACCUACCACGUUUCCGAGGUAGCCUUGUGCUCCUAGCACUCUUAGAUGCUGUGGUAAGGUAUAGUCAUUAAAGGGUGGGUUUAUAAACAAAGCAAAACACCAUGGCCAGAAUCUGCAAGGUAGCUCUUUUGGGCCAUACGCUGACAAGAGAGAAGCAGUGAAAGAGGAAACAAAGAAUUUAACUUUCUAAGAAGGGACUGACUUUGUAACUGAGCUGUUCACUUGUAAGGAGCUGGUUGUAAUGUUUUGUUGGAUAUUUAGUUCAUUAGAGAGAGGCCAUGGUGAUGACUACUGUGUAAAAAGGUUAUAGAGCAGCGUUUCCUAACCUUUUUCACCCCAUGGCACACAUACAUGGCCUUCCUCACCCCACAGCAUACUGGCCGAGCAGGGGGAGGUGGCGGGGGGUGGUGGAAAUCGGGUGGUGAGCGGCGGAACACCACAGAGUGGCAGAAAGUGGGUGGCGCGGCUUUUGAAUCACUGGCUGGAGCCACGGCCCCCUGUUUGUCUGUCUGCCUGCAGCAGGCGGGUGGCAUGGCUCCAGCCAGGUGGGGGUGUGUGGCUCCAGCCAAAAAUGCCACGGCACUCCUGGACGUACCUGAUGGCACACCGGUUGGGAACCACUGCUAUAGAGAAGGCUGUUGCUGUUAUGCAUUAAACCAGCUGAAGUUAGUUGUGAAUAAGAAUUCACAUUUCCUCCCCACCAAGUGAAGUCCCCCACCCCUUCUGCUGAUGGUAUACUGAGCUCUGCUUUGGCCACCAGCAAAAGAUAAAUCCCAUGGUAUCCUGGCUUUUUAAUCUUAUUUAAAUAUAUCUUCCCUUCUUGUUGUUAAGUAGCUGCACCUGCACAAAACAUUAAUUGUUUUGACUUGAUAGAACAGGAUUACAUCUUCCUUCCUUGCCUGUUUUUUUAAUUCAAGGUGCAUAUUAAUUUAAGCAUCUCAAUGAGGUGGUGUAAACUCUGUCUCUUUGUUAACUAUACAUGCCAAUUGAAACCCCAUUGAGCACCAAGUAGAACAGAGUACAACACAGUACAAACUGGACCUGAAAGUAUAUUUUGGCAGGACAACAUGUAAGAUGCUGGUAUGUGCAACUAGUACAGUUACUGAAUGCUUCUUAACAAAAACUUAUCCUUCCACAAAUUGCUCGCGUGCUCUCCAGAGGAAUUUUAUAUCUACUCCUUCAGCUUCACAUGCAAGCAAAGCUGCAGCACUAUUAAUUCAAUACCUUGGUCUAAGAGCGCAUAAUUGGGUAUGAUGUGAUAUGUACCACAUCUGGUACAAUAAAUAAUCUGCCAAGAUAUCCUUACCUUGAUUCUCUUUAUUAUUGUUUGAAAUAAAGUCUCAAUUUUAAAUGUAAGCAGUUCACAGUUCCAAAAAAUAGACAGGUAUGCACACCAACGUACCUAUCUAACAACUGUACCUUCCCUACUGAUUCCCAUUUUCCAUCAGUCCCGCUCAGUCUCCAAAACAGAAAACAAACAGAAAGAAAGAAAGAAAGAAAGAAAGAAAGAAAGAAAGAAAGAAAGAAAGAAAGAACGCUUCACGAAUUUGCGUGUCAAGAAAGAAAGAAAGAAAGAAAGAUUCAAUUUUUGGUUACAUCACAAGUUCCCUUUACUGUGGGCAUGAAAGAAAGAAAGAAGGUGCAUCUCAAGUAGAGCCAAGGAGCUGAUCCUCCCCCUCUACGCAACACUGGUGAAGCCACAGUUGGAGUACUGUGUCCAGUUCUGGGUACCCCACUUCAAGAGGGAUGUGGACAACAUUGAGAGGGUCCAGAGGAGGGCCACCCGCAUGAUCUGGGGACAGCAGGGCAGACCCUACAAUGAGAGGCUGCGGGACCUGAACCUGUUCAGCCUUCACAAGAGAAGGCUGAGGAGGGACCUGGUGACCAUCUAUAAACUCACUAGGGAGGACCAGAAGGGUUUGGGGGAGACCUUGUUUCCCCUAGCACACCCCGGGAUAACAAGGAAUAACGGCCACAAGUUGUUGGAGAGUAGGUUUAGAUUAGAUAUCCAUAGGAACUACUUAACAGUUAGGGCGGCUAGGAUAUGGAACCAACUUCCAAGGGAAGUGGUGCUGGCUCCUACCCUGGGGGUCUUUAAGAAGCAGCUUGAUGCCUACCUGACUGUGGUCAGUUGAGCCCAGUUUUCCUCCUGCCCAGGCAGCGGGUCGGACUUGAAGAUCUACAAGGUCCCUUCCGACCCCUACUUCUAUGAUUCUAUGAAACAAACAACCCCUCUCUCCCUCCCCCUCCCCCCCCCCGCCAAAACAAAAGCACAAUGAUGCUCAUAAGGCUUAUUGACUAACCUUGUUUCAGAACCCAUUAAAGUCAAUAAAGAGACUCCCAGCAA
This is a long non-coding RNA of Alligator mississippiensis (American alligator), 3524 nucleotides long. RefSeq lists it as uncharacterized. The transcript has 2 exons. The record is from RefSeq and is a predicted model, not a curated record. Lineage: Eukaryota; Metazoa; Chordata; Crocodylia; Alligatoridae.